GGCAGCUCACUUCCGUUGUGGCUUUUUUUAUUUGCGUCCUUUUAUUUUUGCAUUAAGUAACUUUUUUUUUCCAUCGCUACUUUUUUUGCGUCAUUAAUUUCUGUUGUGGCUUUUUUUUAAAUCUGCAUUGUUUCUUGUUUUAUUUGCAGCAGGCUUCUUUUUUUUUCUUUUUUCUUUGCAUAGGUAACUUCUGUUGUGACUGCAUUUAUUUUCAUUCUUCUUUUAUUUGCAGCAGUGGCGGCUCUCGGCCACCGUAGGUUUUAGCUAAACCGCUUCAGAAACAGCUGUUUUUACAUUUUACACCUUAAAUAUUCACAACUGCUAUAUCUGAUGGUCAAAAGUCUUCAUUACACCUGAAGUAAAGCUGAGGAAUAGAUUUAAAUCAUGGGUAAUAGUUUUUAAUAAUCUUGAAUCCAUCAAAAUAACCAUAAUUAUGACUUUUACUGUAUGUUGAAGUGGUUCAUGUCUGCAGGGUGGCCUGGGCUGGACCCCCAGGCCUCCUGUUCUCUAAGUCCGCCCCUGUCUACACGAGGGAAACGCUGGAUUUCCUGUUUUAGAGAGUUUAGUGUCUCAAACCUCAGACAGGAUGAUAACUAAAGUAACAGAGAGAGUAGUAACCAGAGCGUUUAGCAGUUACUAUGGAAACCGAGUGUGUGAAUGUCACGUGGUGGUGGGGGGGUCCUCCUCCUCCUCCAUUCCGGUUUCACUUCCUGGUUCAUCCAUCAGGUCAGGAGAACAAGCACACCUGUAACAUUAGAUAGUUUUUGUUUGUUCUAACAUGUCGUGUCCUUUUCCUGGAGGGGCCCGCGGACUGUGGAGCUGCUCUCCUCCGCACAGAGUUUCCCUUUUUACGGGUGGAGAGGGUCUUCAGAGCCCGGCUGGAUGAUUGCUCGUUUCUGUGGGACAGAAACCGCUUCUCUUCUCGCUCCAUCGUGUACUUACAUGAUCUCCUCCAGUGUCACCCUCCGUGGGUGUGCUCUGUCCUCCGCCGGGAGGUUCCUCUGUCAUAUCGAGGGUGAGGAACACAUCAGUGAAUCCACGGCCUGCAGGACUGUCAGGAAAGAGUGUGAGGAUCUGAGACACCUGCCGAGAACCUUCGUGGUGUUUCCUGGACACAAACCAGUGAGUGAUGAGAGAGGAGUUCAACAGGAUUAAAGGUAAAUGAGACAGCAAAAAACAACUUCAUACGUAAAUGAUGAAAAACUAAAAACACACAAUCAUAAAACAUCUGCAAAAGGAAAAAAUAAGAGUCUUUUUUAAUGUGUUUUUAAAGCUGCACUGUUAUUUUUGCACCUGCAGCAGAUUUGAUCAGGAUCGUUCAGGUCUUUGCAGAUCUGUCCUUGUCUGCAGACGAACCUGUGAAGUAAAUAAAACAUUAAAAAUACCCUCCCUGAGGAAAGCCUGGAAAAAUGCUGCCCUCUCUUUGGAUGGAGUAGAAACACAGUGACCUCUGGAUGCCCUCGUAAAUAAAACAUAAUAAAAAAAAAACUAUCAGAUUCACGGUCACUGGAUUAAACAGGAACACAGGCUGUAUAGGUAACAUAGAUUUAAUUAUCAUGCAGUUUCUGUGUUGAGUUAAAUUCUUUAAGUCUUUUUUUUUAACUUAAAGGGAUAUUCCUGUGUAAAAUUAAUUUAAUUAGUUAGACCCCCCCUCCAGAGAUGAAUGUUGCCGACCGCUUGCUUCUCUAGUUAUACCAACUUUAGUAACGACCGCAGGAUAGAAAUACAGAGAGACACGCCCCCAACCAAAACGCCACUCUAUAGCCACAAAUAAUGCUCAGAACAGCACCUAACUUCAGCGGGGUGACGCUCAAGGAUCAUGAUCUAACAAUCAUGAUUAAAUCAUAGAUGUCUAUGUGCAGAAGAAACCUCUGGAUAUCUAACUGAAGUUUAUCUGAUGGAGUUUGUUCCUCUGAAUGGAGAAGAAUAUCUACUCUGUUCAUAACAAAUGAAGACUUAAUGCUGCUUUCUAUAGUCUACACACAGACUUAAAGAAGGGUCAGUGGAGAGGUAAAUAUAAUAAACAUAAAAUAGAGAUUCAGCUCAGUUAAAAAAACAUAAUUCAGCCCUCGAGAGCUUUUUAAAGAGAGGAGAAUAAAACAGGCGCUGAUAAAGGAAACCGUAAAAACACAGAAACAGAGGAGCUGAGGCCGACACAAGAUUAUCGUUAACAUUCACUGUUUAAAGCUCCUGUGAGGAGAGCUGGUUUUAGCGCCCCCCUCUGGACAAAACAGUGCUUGAUAACUCUGUCCUUGACACGCUAACCCUAAAAGAUCUCAGGUGACGCUUAUCCCUCCCGUUCAGGCAUUAAAAUAAUCCCUGAGUAAACACUGAUCGUCUUCUCCCUGAUGGUCGAGUUUGUUUUUGUCAUAAAAAGACGUCAGUGAGAAUUUUAGUCGAUUAUUUCAACAUAAAGGCGGAAAUGUAAGUAAAGAAAUACGAUCACUGAUCAAUUCUGGUCGAGUUUAAUGAUGAAAAUGAGCAAAGUGAUCAUGGUGCAUGUAAAAAGAAGCAGAACAGGAAAUCAAUAAAUAAUCAAUCAGUAAAUAACAUGAGUGUUAAUGCAGAGGUGAUCACAGUGAACAUAGAAGAGCUCAGGGGGGGAUAAAUAUUCAACAUACUGCAUUAAAUAUUCUGAGUAAGUAAACAUGAAGUACUGCAUGUAUAAAGAGUAAAUUAAUACAUGAUCAGCUGUAAAACGUAGACCUAUAACAGUAGAUGUUCUCAUUAAAGCUCUGCAUCCUGCUCUUUAACGGUCUCACACAGUCCCUGAAGAAUUGAUUGGUCAUGAUUUGCUGACUCAUGAUAACGGCGCUCUCUGCGUGUAGUUCGGUCUUGACUGUGGUUACAGGACGGCUCCAGUGUCUUGUGGGUUUCUGGCUCGGAUAAGUGUCCUCCAGGGAGUCCUUCAGUUGUGUUCUGGCUCAGGACCAGAUCCUCUGCCUCUGUCAGAGAAUAAAAGCCUCCGUACUUUCCUUCAAACCACGGUUACAGCACAUGUGACGGGUUUAUGGUGCCGUGUCUCUGGGUCUGCGGGAGGUGAAAUGUUACGGCUGCAGCUUUAUUUAACCUCACAGAGCUGCUGCUGCUGCUGCUGCUGCAGGUCUUUGACUCUUCAUGGUGGGGUCAGUGAGAGAAAAUGAGCUGCUGCUAACCUCCACCAAUGACCUCCAGAUGAACGAGAUAAGGUCUAUCAUCGGCGGAGACAUGUGCCACUUCACCUCUGUCCUUCAGCUGUCAUUACAGAGGAGGGGUCUGGGUUUAAAAGACACCUGUCAAAUAAAAGACCAACAAUCUCUUCAUUUUAAAUCAAUUUUAAAGUCGAACUGAAAUCGUAAAACAAACAAAAAGAAUAAAAGAGAAACGCUCGAGUGAAAACAUGAUCACACCUCGGCCCACGGCUCUGGAGGAUCGUGACGUUUGGAGUCGUUUGUGUGUUUUUUUCUGACUGAUCCUGAUUCUCCUCCAGUGAGUUUUACGUCAUCAAUAUGAGACAAACGUCACCGUUGUUCAACAACACGAACAGGCGCAGAAAGCAGUUUGUGCUUUGUGGACAUGAGGGUCACUUCACGGACGCAUUCGUUGUUGUAACGUGAACGACCGCACAAAAAGAUCGGAUCGAACAAAAAAUCCGAAUUGUGCGUCAGAACCUGCAGAGUGAACGUAGCCUGAGAUAAUGGCUGAGUACAGAUGAACCAGUUGUUUUAAUAAAAUCUUCACUGUUUAAUUUUUUUUUAUUUUCAGCGGGCUUCGUUUUUUUUUCUUUAAUGGUUAACUUCCAUUGUGGCUGCUUCUUUUUUUUCCAUUCUUUUUUAUUUGCAGCAGUGGCGUUUCUCGGCCACCGUACUUUUCAAACCAUCGGCACCCUUUCACAAUAAAACUCUCAACACCUCCACUCUUUCAGCUCUAAGGUUCGACUAAGACUAGAUCAUAACAGUGAGUCGUUUUUUCAGAUACAGAAACCAUUUUUAAUCUUUGGACUUCAUUUUGUUUUUCUUCAGAUAAACCGGCGGCUGUUUUCGACUCUCCCUGAUCCUCUUUACAGAAACCUUUGACCUCUUUAAACUCCCACAAACGCUGAAAAAGUCUUUUUUUCUUUUUGUACGAAUCUAAACACAAACAUUUGUCCUAAUUAUCCGACAUUUUUGACCUUUGAACCCUUUGCUAAAAGCGCUUUAACAACAGAAUGGAAACAGAAUUGAAGUCCUGACCGGUCUGAGUGAAUAUUAAACGCCUCUCAAGGUCGCCGAGAGCAACACAACAGCUAAUGAGAUACAGGAGAGGCCCGGGCGACCGCCAGCGUUUGAAUCUGUUUGAUCGAACCCGGGGCACAUGAGCGUUUGUAGCCUGAACAGAUAGUGAGACGGCUCCAACCUCCGGGGCGGAACAAAGAAGAGACGGCGGCGUCCACGGCGGGACCCGGAGCACAGGUUUGAUAUAACACCCCCCCUCCACCUCCUGCUGUUAUAAAUCUGAACCCCUCCCCCCUCUGCGGCGGCGGUUCAAAGGCACGUUUGCUGUUAAAUAUAACUGUGACAUUGGCGUGUUUCAUGUCCUGACUUUAUUGAUUUCAGCGUGUGGAUGACGAUCCUCAGAGGGUGAGGCAGAUGUUGUACACAAGGUCAGGUGACCCCCAUUAAAAAAGCACAUUUCUACUGUUUCCAGAUAUUACAGCUUCAUUGGUGCAUAACUGAAGUGCAGCUUCUACGCUCUAUUGAUUUCUACGCUCUCUAAUCCUUUAGGUUUCUGAGAACUACGUCCGUGUUUCUCUUCUUUUUUUAAAUCAGAGAUCGAGGAAAGAGGAGGAAACAGACACAAAAACAGGGAAAGAGGGAGGAAAAGGUUUUGUGUUUAAUGGUUGUUUUUUCUUUUUUUUUUUGAUUGCCCUCUUGUCUUUUUUUUUCUUAUUUUUUUAUUUCAUAAGUUGUUUUUCUCUCCUCGUGUGUCGAGCCUCGUUGUUGUUGUCGGUGUUUCCUCCCUCCUGUUUGAUUGCCCUCCGUUUGUUCCACCUGUGUCUCAUUGAUUAGGGUUUGAUUGUCCCUCUCCGUAUUUAGACGCUCUGUUUCUUCUCUGUGACGGUUCGUCGUCUUUAACCCUCCUCAGUUCUCCGUCCGCCUCCUUUUUAGUCUUUUUAAAACCUGUUUUCUGGACUUUCUGUUGGACUUUGUUUUGAUUUUAGUUUUUCUUGGACAUCUCGCUGACUCUUCCUGUUUUUCACUUUCACAUUUUCUCACCUUUUAACCUUAAACACAGAAAAUAGUGGAGCACAGUUUAUGCCCCAGAGACUGAGCGGCUCUGUUAAUUAAAAAGUGCUGCCAGUAGAAAGUCCACCUGGCUUUUUAAUACCCAGCAUGCUUUGUGCAGUGGAGCAGCUCCUGGUUUCUCUGAGUACCCACUUCUUUAUUUUAAGAGUAACACUUAAAUAAAUCCUCUCAUGUUCUGGUUUCAUGGUGGGCAGCAGCUCAGUCCCAUUUAACCCGUCAGUCAGCUCGCUCCAUGUACUUAAAUUUUUCCUACUCUCAGUUAAAUCAAGUUUAUCUGGUUUUAUUGUGUUUGAACAGUCAGAUUAAUUCAGGAUCAUUUUAGUUUAAAGAAACUCAAACCUACUGAAGUCCAGAUCUAGAAUCUUCCUUUAUCUCUGUUCAAAAAUGAAAAGGCUUAAAAAUAGAAACUUUCUUUACUGAGUGAAAACUUCACAUCUUAACUCAUUCAAAACAUAACUUAACUGACUUUUUCCUGAUUACAUCAAGGUGCAUUCUGGGUAAUGAAGUCCUUUUAUCGAACUUAAAGCUUUAGCUGUAAGAUGAUGCUCUUCCUCCUCU
RNAcentral lists this long non-coding RNA (5822 nucleotides) under Xyrichtys novacula (pearly razorfish). Lineage: Eukaryota; Metazoa; Chordata; Actinopteri; Labriformes; Labridae. The record is from RNAcentral.